CCUACGGGGGGCAGCAGUGGGGAAUAUUGGGCAAUGGGCGCAAGCCUGACCCAGCAACGCCGCGUGAAGGAAGAAGGCUUUCGGGUUGUAAACUUCUUUUCUGAGGGACGAAGAAAGUGACGGUACCGCAGGAAUAAGCCACGGCUAACUACGUGCCAGCAGCCGCGGUAAUACGUAGGUGGCAAGCGUCAUCCGGAUUUAUUGGGUGUAAAGGGCGUGUAGGCGGGAAAGGAAGUCAGAUGUGAAAGCUCCGGGCUCAACCCUGAGCCUGCAUUUGAAACUGUUUGUCUUGAGUGCUGGAGAGGCAAUCGGAAUGCCGGGUGUAGCGGUGAAAUGCGUAGAUAUACGGAGGAACACCAGUUGCGAAGGCGGAUUGCUGGACAGUAACUGACGCUGAGGCGCGAAAGCGUGGGGAGCAAACAGGAUUAGAUACCCGAGUAGUC
RNAcentral lists this ribosomal RNA (443 nucleotides) under uncultured bacterium. RNAcentral describes it as "partial 16S ribosomal RNA". It matches the Rfam family "Bacterial small subunit ribosomal RNA", at positions 338 to 795 of the family's 1533-position model. The record is from RNAcentral.